CUUGAACGCUGGCGGCAGGCCUAACACAUGCAAGUCGAACGAGUGGCGGACGGGUGAGUAAUGUCUGUGACACUGCCUGCUGGAUGGGGAUAACUACUGGAAACGGUAGCUAAUCCCGCCUACCAUCGGAUGUUGCCAGAUGGGAUUAUCUCGUAGGUGGGGUAACGGCUCACCUAGGCGACGAUCCCUAGCUGGUCUGAGAGGAUGACAAGCCACACUGGAACUGGGACACGGUCCAGACGCCUACGGGAGGCAGCAGUGGGGAAUAUUGCACAAUGGGAGCAAGCCUGAUGCAGCCAUGACGCGUGUAGGAAGAAGGGCUUCGGGUUGUAAAGUACUUUCAGCGGGGAGGCGUUACCCGCAGAAGAAGCACCGGCUAACUCCGUGCCAGCAGCCGCGGUAAUUC
RNAcentral lists this ribosomal RNA (406 nucleotides) under uncultured bacterium. Its description in RNAcentral is "partial 16S ribosomal RNA". It matches the Rfam family "Bacterial small subunit ribosomal RNA", at positions 30 to 526 of the family's 1533-position model. The record is from RNAcentral.